RNAcentral lists this transfer RNA (64 nucleotides) under Bathynella cf. rufa JHS-2017. RNAcentral's name for it is "tRNA-Ser". Lineage: Eukaryota; Metazoa; Arthropoda; Malacostraca; Bathynellacea; Bathynellidae. The record is from RNAcentral.
AAUUAGAUAUGCUAAAUUUAAGCAAAAUAUUUUGAAAAUAUUUGAUGUAUUUAUUCUCUAAUUU